AAUGUAUGAAGCCGUUGACUUUUUGUUCAACGUUUGACCAUUCGUCUUAUUCAAAAAAUUUAUGUAACUAUCAUUUAUUUCGUUGUGACUUGAUUCGUCAUCAAAUGUUCUUUAAGCUGGACAUAAAUAUUUUCAUAUUUGUAUAAAAAUUUUUAAUAAAACGAAUGGUCAAACGUUGAUUGAAAAGUCAACGGCGUCAUACAUU
Molecule: non-coding RNA, 205 nt
Organism: Oryza glumipatula
Lineage: Eukaryota; Viridiplantae; Streptophyta; Magnoliopsida; Poales; Poaceae
Source: Rfam